UGUUCUCGGGGCGAGGUGAAAUUCCUCACCGGCGGUUAAAGUCCGCUAACUCCUUUUCGGGAGCCGACACGGUGAAAUUCCGUGACCGACGGUAAAGUCCGGAUGCGAGAGAAC
RNAcentral lists this non-coding RNA (114 nucleotides) under bovine gut metagenome. RNAcentral describes it as "FMN riboswitch (RFN element)". It matches the Rfam family "FMN riboswitch aptamer (RFN element)". From Rfam's summary of the family: The RFN element is a highly conserved domain that is found frequently in the 5'-untranslated regions of prokaryotic mRNAs that encode for flavin mononucleotide (FMN) biosynthesis and transport proteins. This element is a metabolite-dependent riboswitch that directly binds FMN in the absence of proteins. In Bacillus subtilis, the riboswitch most likely controls gene expression by causing premature transcription termination within the 5' untranslated region of the ribDEAHT operon and precluding access to the ribosome-binding site of ypaA mRNA. The record is from RNAcentral.